Molecule: non-coding RNA, 1590 nt
Organism: Phascolarctos cinereus (koala)
Lineage: Eukaryota; Metazoa; Chordata; Mammalia; Diprotodontia; Phascolarctidae
Source: RefSeq, a predicted model, not a curated record
UCCUCCUCGCCCCUCCCAUUUACCUGCUCCUCGCCCCUCCUAUUUACUUCCUCCCUCUUUACUCCUUUCCUUCCUUUCUUCUGUUCUGGUCACCGACUGUUUCGAGCUUUACUGAUCCCUGGACGCGAAGGGCUGUGCCCCACCCACAGGGUUCUUCAGCCUUAGGUCACUUGGCAGGCUGAGAUGAGGACGGAGAGGCUCAGAUUUUCAAAUGAACUGGUUGGCAACACUGGUCAGUCAUUAAGAAGUGUUUCUGUGACAGUGUAACUAUUGUGCCAGUGGUGGAAAAGAAGAAAGUCAUGUCUGAAGAUUUUUUUUUUCCCCUACAAAGGGGUUUAUGGAACAAAGAAUAUUGGAAACUACAGUGAACAUUUCUAAAGGUUCCAAUUUUUCCUUAUUCUAAUAACAUUCCCCACAAAGAAUAUAAAAGAGUAUAAAUUGCAUCCCAGAAAUUUUGGGACAGCUUUGAGCUUAGAGUGGAAGACCUAGAUUCCAGUUUCAGUUCUGCCACUUUACAACCUAUGUGACCCUGGGAUUCCAGGUGGGGUGAUACAGCCAGACAGGCCAGAAGCCAGGGUACUUGAAGCAACUACAGGCCCUAAGCAACUCAAAAGCUUGAAGACAACUCAAGGACAACUUAGAAGGGAGGAAGCUUCAAGAGAACUGAAGAACUCUCAUCUCUCCUGCUUGCUUCAACUCCACCCUGCUCUUCACACAGGUGAGGGACAUUGAUCUCCACCAUUACCAAUGGUCUUUGGGACUGGGGUUAUGAAGGCAGGGAACAUGGCUUACUUAAACUUUGUGUUCCUUAACAUCUAGCACUAUAUUCUGCAUUUAGGAAAUAUUUAAAUAUUUGCUGUAACCAAUAAAUCUCACCAUUAUCAUGAGAUGCACUGAUUUGAUUGUGGCCAGACCAAAUGGCAGGAAAACCAAAAGUCUUCCAUAGACUAGAAAAGGUGAUUUGACUCUGGUUUGUUUAUAGGAACGAAGUGUUAGGAGUAGGGUAUCCUGUUUAUGGCUACUUCAGCUUAAGAUCAACAGUGAAAAACAACUUUGAACCAAAAUGUAGUCAGCAUCAAUGCUUUUUAUAGGUUGACUUGUUUUGGAUUUGUCUAAGUAAGGGCUUUUUCUAUCAGUUCUAGCUUCAGGGCUUUCAAUUGGUUCUACAAAAAGUCUCAGUACGAAAGACCAUGGGAAUAUGGAUCAGUAUUCUCUGUACCCCUGUACCUCUUUUCUGAAAAUGUUACCUUUACCUGGAAUGUUAUCCCUCCUAUUUUUUUUUCAUUUAAUUUUCUUUUUAAUUUGAACUUAACAAACACCAAAUAAAAUGAGCAUUCUCACAUACAGUGAGGAACAGAAGUCGAUUGUACAUGAAAUUGCUAUUACAAAUACCUUGUUUUUCUUUUAAAGUAUAUAAUAAGGUCAACAUGUGAUUUUCAAAGCAGUUCUGCUUGUCAGAUUCUUUCUCUUUUCUUUAUUCUUUUUCAGGGGCUGACAAGAUCCUAACUUUAGUCUCCCUCUCUUCUACCUCCUCUCAAUUGAAAAACAAAACUCUUGUAAUAAAUAUGCAGUAGAAACCAAAUUCCACAU